GACGAACGCUGGCGGCGUGCUUAACACAUGCAAGUCGAACGGAAAGGCCCUGCUUUUGUGGGGUGCUCGAGUGGCGAACGGGUGAGUAACACGUGAGUAACCUGCCCUUGACUUUGGGAUAACUUCAGGAAACUGGGGCUAAUACCGGAUAGGAUCUCCUGCUGCAUGGUGGGGGUUGGAAAGUUUCGGCGGUUGGGGCUGGACUCGCGGCUUAUCCGCUUGUUGGGGGAGUAGUGGCUUACCAAGGCUUUGAAGGGUAGCCGGCCUGAGAGGGUGACCGGCGACAUUGGGACUGAGAUACGCACCAGACUCCUACGGGAGGCAGCAGUGGGGAAUAUUGCACAAUGGGCGGAAGCCUGAUGCAGCAACGCCGCGUGCGGGAUGACGGCCUUCGGGUUGUAAACCGCUUUCGCCUGUGACGAAGCGUGAGUGACGGUAAUGGGUAAAGAAGCACCGGCUAACUACGUG
RNAcentral lists this ribosomal RNA (468 nucleotides) under uncultured bacterium. RNAcentral describes it as "partial 16S ribosomal RNA". It matches the Rfam family "Bacterial small subunit ribosomal RNA", at positions 28 to 507 of the family's 1533-position model. The record is from RNAcentral.